This 2354-nucleotide long non-coding RNA is filed under the name Triticum aestivum (bread wheat). RNAcentral's name for it is "long non-coding RNA (TAES_LNC009335)". Lineage: Eukaryota; Viridiplantae; Streptophyta; Magnoliopsida; Poales; Poaceae. The record is from RNAcentral.
UCCGACGAAAAGCUUCCUCCCACGUUUCGGAGGGGUACCGCUCCGAUUUGGGCUGAAAUCGCGAGCGCCCGCAAAACGUACCCCUUCAUCCCCCCGCGACCACGAAAAAUAAGAAAACAGAGCAGGGAGGUCGGCCACGACCUAGGAGCUCGGCGGCGGCGACCACCACGAGCACCGGCGGCUGCGCAGGUGCCGUUCUUCCCCGUUCUCUCUCCCUCUUCCCCAUCCCAGUACCUCCUCCUAUCCCCGUACCGCGUCCCCUCCCAACGCCCGUCGGCGACCAAGAUGGAGGUCUGCGGCGGCCCGAGACAUCUAGCCCGCGCCCCCUCUGGAUCCGCCAUGCCCCCCUCUGGCUCAGCCGCGCCCUGACCCGCUGGAUCCACCCUUCCCCCUAUGCCAUGCCCCUCCAUCCUCCUGUACACCCCCUCUUUCUGCACCAUGGUCGACGGAGCUGCAGCUCCUCUGCUCCUCUACACCAUGUCCGCCCGCCCGCUCCCUGUAUGAAUUCUUCUACUCUUCCAGCAUGGCCAUAGCCUACCUCCUCUUCUCCUCCUCCCUCUAUAUCCCUCUCUGAUUAGCUAAUUUACAAUGUUUAUAUCAGAUGUUAGUAACAAAGUUCAGUCAUUAAAUUUUUUUGCUGACUUGUCUGAUUUCAUAAUCAAGAGAAUGUAGACAAUUGUUCAGUAUGGGUAUUAAGUUUCCUACCAUGGCUCCUAAAGUUUAGAUCACACUGGACUACAGAAUUUUCUCAUCUGAAUUCUGUUAUGGAGCUGCAGCUCCUCUUCUAUAGCGUGACCACACCUGACAACUCCUCUUGUUAUGCAGAUUACUGAAAUUUCGUUGAUCCAUAAGCCGAUUGAAGGGACUAGCAGGUAGUGCUUGGCGGCACGCCGCGCUUCGUUGAUUCGUUUGAAAUUUGCUUUCAUGGAGUUCUUCAAAAAUGUUGUAUGUUUUGCAUGCGUGUAUCUUUAUAGUGAGGGAAUGAAGCAUGUAUGUUGCUCUGUUCGACAGCAAACUGAACAUGUAUGGUAGCAUGUGUGCUGCUCCUUUCGACAGCAGAAAGUUCGCUUCUGCUUUGUUAGACAGCAUAAAAUUCUAUGUUGUUUUCAUCAUUUUGAUCUAAUUCAGUUCACCAAAACUGAAAGUGUGUGUUGUUUUUGUCAUUUUGAUCUAGGCCUUUAUAAACAAAAUUACACAAGGAAGUAAGAAUAAACCUGAAUGUUGAUCUAGGCAAAAUUCAGUUCCGAUAUGUUAUGCCUUUCUAAACAAAAUUCAGAGAUACAAAUAUUCUGAUCCUGUUGGUAGAAUAAACUGCAAUACAUGCUCUGUUCCUGAUAUUCUUGACAGCAACAAAACUGCAAUAAUUAUUGAGUGGAGGAAACAUGCAAUAUAUUGUUGUCCAUGUAUAACCAUUUUGCGUUUUCCUGAUGCAUUUCUAGAACAUUUAUUUAUUUUCGUUGCUAUAUAUGUAUUCGUAGUAAGAUUUCAAUUUUGAGUCAUGUAGAACAAGGUAUAACCUGGUAAUGUAGCUAUGCAAUUCCAAAGUUUGUCAUCCAAACAGGAUUUGGUAUUGAAAUCUCAGAGGCAUUUCAAGGGCCAAUUUAUUGGACAACCAAACAGGUGAAUUCGUAUUCGUUCCAUUUCAGUUUCCUCACUGAUUUGGAAUUCAGACCAAUUCAAUACGGAGCUCUCCAAUGGAGACAUCCAAACGAAGCGUAGAAGUAAAAAUUACUUACAGAUUCAUGGACCACUUAGCGACGACUACAAGCACUGGAGCGAGCUAAAGGCGCGCCACUAUCAUUGUCCCUCCCUCACUGAAACCGAAUAGUUGCUAUAUUUGAUACUGCUGUCAAGGGCUUUCUUCUCCAUCUGCCACGUUUUUUUCUAGAGGGGCGUACCAGUUAAUUUGAUAAUGCAAGAAAACAAGCUAGGUGAGCAAGGACCAGACACCAGAGUAUCAGAUGACAUAGUUUUAACCUUACUUGUAUGUGUUUUGUACACCUACUUCUAUAGGGCUAUCCAUUUCUAUCGCCAGAGCACCGACUGCAGCUUUUUGAGCAGAUCCGAGCAAGGCGCGAAGUUCGGAUCGUCGCGAAGCUACCUCUGAAUGCAGUGGAUCCAGAGGAGGAGUUGGAGGAGGAGGAGAAAGAUAAACUAGGGUACUAUGUAGUAUGCAAUACCUCCGAAUGCAGUGCACCCGUCCACCCGACGCCCGAAUCGACGUUGACAUCUCCGACAACGAAGAUAAGCUAGGAUAGUACGUAGUAUGUAGUACGUAUAAUUUUAUUUGCAUGCUUUAUAUGGAUUUAACGGUUAAAAUAUGAGAUACUCAGAUGCAGAGUGGCUAAUUUAAG